UUUGGCAGGUCUAUAGGCAAAGG
This 23-nucleotide unclassified non-coding RNA is filed under the name Mus musculus (house mouse). RNAcentral describes it as "oocyte_clustered_small_RNA13970". Lineage: Eukaryota; Metazoa; Chordata; Mammalia; Rodentia; Muridae. The record is from RNAcentral.